GAUGAACGCUGGCGGCGUGCCUAAUACAUGCAAGUCGAGCGAACAGACGAGGAGCUUGCUCCUCUAACGUUAGCGGCUGACGGGUGAGUAACACAUGGAUAACCUACCUAUAAGACUUGGAUAACUUCGGGAAACCGGAGCUAAUACCGGAUAAUAUAUUCAACCGCAUGGUUCAAUAGUUAAAGACGGUUUUGCCGUUACUUUUAGAUGAAUCCGCGUCGGAUUAGCUAGUUGGUAAGGUAACGGCUUACCAAGGCAACGAUGCGUAGCCGACCUGAGAGGGUGAUCAGCCACACUGGAACUGAGACACGGUCCAGACUCCUACGGGAGGCAGCAGUAGGGAAUCUUCGACAAUGGGCGAAAGCCUGACGGAGCAACGCCGCGUGAGUGAAGAAGGUCUUCGGAUCGUAAAACUCUGUUAUUAGGAAAGAAAAACUGUGGAAGUAUCCAUCGCCGUUUUGACGGUACCUAAACAGAAAGCAACGGCUAACUACGUG
Molecule: ribosomal RNA, 497 nt
Filed under: uncultured bacterium
Lineage: Bacteria
Description: partial 16S ribosomal RNA
Rfam family: Bacterial small subunit ribosomal RNA
Source: RNAcentral